This is a non-coding RNA of Dethiobacter alkaliphilus AHT 1, 171 nucleotides long. The record is from Rfam. NCBI's taxonomy places the organism in Bacteria, Bacillati, Bacillota, Dethiobacteria, Dethiobacterales, Dethiobacteraceae.
UCCACCGUGAGGUGGAGUGUGAAGGAAGGCGGCGGCAAAUCUCCGGCCUGACGAACAGAAAUCGUAUCAGGCGCAAAUUGAGGAUAAGGCUGCCAAACGAGUCGAAGUCCAAUAGCUACACGGAAUCAAUUUGUGUAAAUGCGGCAGGUAGAUGGAGAGAAAGACUGCGUU